RNAcentral lists this ribosomal RNA (468 nucleotides) under uncultured bacterium. RNAcentral describes it as "partial 16S ribosomal RNA". It matches the Rfam family "Bacterial small subunit ribosomal RNA", at positions 28 to 507 of the family's 1533-position model. The record is from RNAcentral.
GACGAACUCUGGCGGCGUGCUUAACACAUGCAAGUCGAACGGAAAGGCCCUGCUUUUGUGGGGUGCUCGAGUGGCGAACGGGUGAGUAACACGUGAGUAACCUGCCCUUGACUUUGGGAUAACUUCAGGAAACUGGGGCUAAUACCGGAUAGGAGCUCCUGCUGCAUGGUGGGGGUUGGAAAGUUUCGGCGGUUGGGGAUGGACUCGCGGCUUAUCAGCUUGUUGGUGGGGUAGUGGCUUACCAAGGCUUUGACGGGUAGCCGGCCUGAGAGGGUGACCGGCCACAUUGGGACUGAGAUACGGCCCAGACUCCUACGGGAGGCAGCAGUGGGGAAUAUUGCACAAUGGGCGGAAGCCUGAUGCAGCAACGCCGCGUGCGGGAUGACGGCCUUCGGGUUGUAAACCGCUUCCGCCUGUGACGAAGCGUGAGUGACGGUAAUGGGUAAAGAAGCACCGGCUAACUACGUG